UCCUGGACGCUCAGUCCGGGUCGAGUGUCAGCCGUGCCUUCCAGUCCCCUGUCCAUCACGGCCAGCGGCGCGAGUCUUUCCUGUACCGCUCGGACAGCGACCAUGAGUCUUUACCCAAGGCUGUGUCCCGGACCUCCUCGGCGGCCAGCGACCUACUUGGAGAAGACAUGAUUGUCACGCCCUUCGCCCAGGUCCUGGCCAGUCUCAGGACGGUCCGUGGCAACGUGGCUGCCCUGGGCAGUGUCACCAGGCAGGUGCUUCUUGGGACCCCUUCACACAGCAGCCAACAGGAGGCCUCAGCAGGUAUCACCCCACCCCCAACCCGAGGCCAGCUGUGAAAGUCCUCCCAUCCUGCCCUUGGAUUGUGGCUCAUCGCAAACAGGCUCCACCCCCCAAACCUACAUUUGCACACAGAGCCCCCCCCACACACACACAUUACAGACCAGAGAGGGUCCUGGGCCUCUGUCUGGCGUGACAGUCACUCGCAGGAGGUUGUGGAGCUGGGAGCUGUGGUCCUAGGCUUUGGGGGUUGAGGUGCAGA
Long non-coding RNA from Grammomys surdaster, 541 nucleotides. RefSeq lists it as uncharacterized. The record is from RefSeq and is a predicted model, not a curated record. The transcript has 4 exons. Lineage: Eukaryota; Metazoa; Chordata; Mammalia; Rodentia; Muridae.